UAGUGGCGAACGGGUGAGUAACACGUGGGUAAUCUGCCCUGCACUCUGGGAUAAGCCUUGGAAACGAGGUCUAAUACCGGAUAUCACAACGCUUCGCAUGGAGUGNUGUUGAAAGUUCUGGCGGUGCAGGAUGAACCCGCGGCCUAUCAGCUUGUUGGUGGGGUAGUGGCCUACCAAGGCGACGACGGGUAGCCGGCCUGAGAGGGUGACCGGCCACACUGGGACUGAGACACGGCCCAGACUCCUACGGGAGGCAGCAGUGGGGAAUAUUGCACAAUGGGCGAAAGCCUGAUGCAGCGACGCCGCGUGAGGGAUGACGGCCUUCGGGUUGUAAACCUCUUUCGCCAGGGACGAAGCGCAAGUGACGGUACCUGGAUAAGAAGCACCGGCUAACUACGUGCCAGCAGCCGCGGUAAUACGUAGGGUGCAAGCGUUGUCCGGAUUUAUUGGGCGUAAAGAGCUCGUAGGCGGUUUGUCGCGUCGGCUGUGAAAUCUGGAGGCUUAACCUUCAGCGUGCAGUCGAUACGGGCAGACUUGAGUUCGGUAGGGGAGACUGGAAUUCCU
RNAcentral lists this ribosomal RNA (564 nucleotides) under Amycolatopsis sp. 331H01. RNAcentral describes it as "bacterial SSU rRNA". It matches the Rfam family "Bacterial small subunit ribosomal RNA", at positions 93 to 671 of the family's 1533-position model. Lineage: Bacteria; Bacillati; Actinomycetota; Actinomycetes; Pseudonocardiales; Pseudonocardiaceae. The record is from RNAcentral.